UUCCUGUUUUUUUGUACACAC
This 21-nucleotide non-coding RNA is filed under the name Caenorhabditis elegans. Lineage: Eukaryota; Metazoa; Nematoda; Chromadorea; Rhabditida; Rhabditidae. The record is from RNAcentral.